Quercus lobata is the source of this 5649-nucleotide RNA transcript. It is a transcript of the gene named probable disease resistance protein At4g27220, with no coding region annotated. The transcript has 6 exons. The record is from RefSeq and is a predicted model, not a curated record. NCBI's taxonomy places the organism in Eukaryota, Viridiplantae, Streptophyta, Magnoliopsida, Fagales, Fagaceae.
AUUUAUAUAUUGUGUUGGUUUGAAUGAAUUUUUUCUCAAGUUUUUAGAGGAUGGACUUUAGAUAAGAUGUUCAACUUUUAUACGCCAAGCAUUGAUUGUAAGUCUUGUACAUGGAAAAAAUAGAGACAAGAAAUUAAGAAUAUGAUCCAUUUUGGUCGGCCUUAGCUUGAUUUUUCUAGACAUCAAUUUUCUCUCUUACCAAAAGUCCGACUUAUUUUAGGCGGAAGUUUCCUUGAUUAUUACUUGUAUACAAAAUUCCAGGAUCAUUAAAUUGGAAUAGGUCCCUUACUAACCUAAUUAAUUGGAAUAGGAUGAAAUUUCUUCCCAUCCACACUAAACGUUGUGUACACUCCAAAUUUUUCUGCAUCUCAUAAUUAUACGUUAUUGAUAGGUGUCAUCCAAGUCCAACAUGAUUGAGAUUUGUAAUUGAGACUAUGGCCCAGAAGCUUUACUAUUCAAUCCUCUGAAAUCAUUUCGCAGCAUCUUUUGUUUCGUCAAUCUUUACCCUCUCACUUUGGUUUUAUUUUGCUCUACUUUUCAAAAAAAAAAAAGAGUUUGAUACUUUCUACUUUGCGCCAUUAAUUUUCGUUGUAGUCAUCCUCUUAGUUUGGUUUUGCUUUGCUCCAGUUCUUAAAAAAAAAAAAAAAAAAUUAUAGUAAAGAGUGAGAUUUUCCAACUUUUUACCUUAAUCUUCGUUGCAGUUUUUUGUGUUAUCAUCCUUAUCCCAUCGUUUUAAUUUUACUUUGCUUCACUUCUCAAAAGAAGAAGAAAAAAAUAAAGAAAAAAGAAGAAGAAAAGUCCAGCUAUAGCUUAAUCGUCACCGCUGCUCUCAUUUACUAUAGCCACUAUCCUUGAUCUGCUAAAAUAAGAGAGUUUGUUCUACUUAUCAUUUGUCAAGACAGACAAGUAAGGAAAAAGAAGAAGGAAAGGAAAUUAAGAAAGAACGAAAGAAGGAAGAAAGGAAGGAAAGAACAAGAUGUCAUCUACUGUUUCCCGUUUUCUGAUACUCGGCAUAGUGAUUGUCCGAGUCUAAAACAACCUGCGGCUCUGAUUCGCUUUCAGCUUUCUUGUGUGUUGCACUAACGGCACGUGUGAAGACGGUAGGAGACCAUUAUCUUCAAUUAUUCCAAACAUAGAGCCAUUGUUUUUAAUUGGCCUUUAUUUGCCUAUACUCUCAAGACAGCAGCCCAACCCAAAAAGAAGCAACAAAAUGGAGUUUCUUACGGAGACCGUAAAAGUAUUCGUUGAAAAAACUGUGGGUUACACAAUUGCAGGAGUCGGACGUCAGAUAGGUUACCUUCGCUACAAAAAAAAUGUUGACAUUCUAAAUAACAAAUUUGAGGAUCUCAAAGGUGCUAGAGAUAGUGUGCAGCGUAAAGUUCAAGCUGCUAGUUACAAUGUAGAAGAAAUUGAAGCUAUCGUCCAGAGGUGGCAGACACGUGUUCAGGGGAUCACUGCAGAGGUAGAAGAAUUCGUUGAAAAGGAAGGCCAAGCAAAGUUGAAGUGUUUUAAUUUGAAGGCCCGUUAUCAGAUUGGAAAAAAAGCACACAAGAUGGGAUUGAACGUCAAGGAACUCAAGGAUGAGGCGGACACGUUCCAUACAGUAGGCCACCGUGUCCCUAUAGAAGGGGGUACUACUAUUUCUACUAAAGGUUAUGAGGACUUUGAAUCAAGAAAAUCAAUUUUUGACGGAGUUAUGGAGGCUCUAAAAGAUGAUAAUAUUCCUGCCAUUGGGGUUUGUGGGAUGGGCGGCCUGGGCAAAACCAUGCUUGUUGGAAAAAUUGCAACACAAGCCAUGAAAGACAAGUUAUUUGAAAGGAUUGUUACGGUAGUUGUAUCCCAAACUCCAAACUUGAAACAGAUUCAGAAAGACAUUGCAAAAGAAUUAGAGUUGAAGUUUGAAGAUGAGGACACUGAUUUUAAAAAAGCACAUUUGCUACGCGAGCGGUUGAAGAAAGAGAAGAUCCUUUUAAUUGUAGAUGAUAUUUGGAACAAGAUUGACUUGGACGCUCUUGGAAUUUCUUUCGGGGACAAUCGCGAAGGAAGCAAACUAUUGCUAACAUCUAGAUUCCGAGGUGUAUUAGACAAGGCUAUGGAUGUUGAAAAGAUAUUCCAAGUUGAAGUUCUAUCAAACGAAGAAGCUAAAUUCUUGUUUGUAAAGAUAGUGGGCGAUUUUGCUGAAACCUUGAAUUUCCAAUCUACCAUGGUUGAGGUUGUCAAAGAAUGUGCAGGCUUACCGAUUGCAAUUACAACAGUUGCGAAUACAUUGAAAAAUCAAAAGAACCCAAAUGUUUGGAAGGAUGCCUUGCAACAGUUAAAAAGGGCAAAUCCAACACAGAUCAAUGGGAUGCAUGAGAAGGUAUACUCGAGUAUAAAGUUUAGUUACAAUUUUUUAAGUAAGGAAGCGCAAUCUUUAUUCUUGUUCUGCAGUUCAUUUGAAGAAGAUAUGGUCAUACAAAUAGAUCUCUUAUGGAGAUAUUUGGUGGGUUUGGACUCUUAGAAGAUGUUUAUAAAAUGGAAGAAGUGAGGAAUAGGGUCCACACGUUGGUCGAAAUUCUAAAAGAUUCUUGCUUGCUGUUAGAAAGUUAUAGGAGUGGUACAUUUAAAAUGCAUGACGUCAUUCGUGAUGUUGCCAUACAUAUUGCAGACAAAGAAAAGAAAAUGUUAACCAUAAGAAGUUCAGAUGAUUUGGAAAAAUGGUCCAAUAUGAAAAAAAUGAAUGACUCCAUUGGAAUCGCACUUUUUGAAACCAAGUUUAGUGAGCUUCCUGCAAGGUUGGAAUGUCCUCAACUUAACUUCAUUAUUUUGGGUGAUAAAGAAAAUUCUUUGCAGAUUCCUAAUCACAUUUUUGAAGGGGCAAAAAAUCUGAAAGUUUUAGUUUUGAUGAGACCAAGUCUCCCACUUCCUUCAUCCCUUUCACUUCUUCAGAACCUCCAGACAUUGGCUUUACUUGAGUGCAAGUCAGAAGACUUGGCUUUAAUUGGAGAAUUGAAGAAUUUGAAAGCUCUUGUCCUAGUUGAUUCCAAGAUUAAGCAGUUACCCAUAGGAAUAAGGCAAUUGACUCACCUUCAAUUGUUGGAUUUGAGAAGGUGCACCGAACUUGAAGCCAUUCCAUCAAAUGUAAUAUCAAAUUUAAAAAAUUUAGAAGAAAUACACAUGAAUCAAAGCUUUAAUCAAUGGCAGGUUGGCGGAGAAAUUACAGAAAGAAGCAAUGCUAGAGUCUCAGAGUUAGAUCAUUUAUUACACUUGACCACAUUAUGUAUACAUAUUCCGAAUCCCAAUAUUCUACCAAAUGCCUUACCUUUUAAAAAGUUGGUAAGAUAUGAAAUAUUAAUAGGCCCUGAUUGGGAUUGGGAUAGUAAUAGUCGUAUUGAGUUUGAAAUCUCAAGAACAUUGAAAAUUGACCUUGAUAGAAGCUUUCAAGAAGAGGAUGGAAUUAAAAUUUUAUUGAAAGGUUGCGAAUAUCUCACUCUGGCUCCUGGGAAGGGUAUUAAAAAUAUUCUUUAUGAAGUUGAUAAGGAAGGUUUUCCUCGAUUGAAGCAUCUUUAUGUUCAAAACAGUGUUGAGAUUCAAUACAUCAUUGAUUCGAUAUGGUUUCAAUGUGUUGCCUUUCCUGUUUUAGAGUUACUUUCUCUAGUUAAUAUGAUCAAUUUGGAAAAGAUAUGCCAUAACCAACUUGCAAUGGGGUCUUUCCACAACUUGAGAAAGUUAGAAAUAAGAAAAUGUGAUAAUUUGGUAUUUGUCUUCUCCUCAACCUUGCUCAGAUGCUUUUCGCAACUCCAAGAAAUAGAGAUUGAGGAUUGCAAGGUAAUGAGUGCAAUUGUUGCAGAGGAAAGAAAACAUGGGAUACAGGUUAAUGAUGACAUCAUUACGGAUACAAUUAACUUCCCUCAAUUGCGUUCUUUAAAUCUGAAAAGAUUACCAAAUUUAAUGGGCUUUUGUUCUAAUGUUGAUUCUCAAUCACUUUUCAACAAAAAGGUUGCAUUUUCUAACUUGGAGAAUCUACACAUCGAUGCCAUAUAUAAGCUGGAGAUGUUGUGGCACAAUCAACUUGAUCUAGAUUCUUUUUGCAAGCUAAAACAAUUGCGUGUUGAUGACUGUGUAAAUCUAAUAAAUAUUUUUCAGCCUAAUAUCUUGAGAAGACUCUCGAAUCUUGAAGAUUUGCAGAUAAGAAAUUGCAAUUUAGUAGAAGAUGUAUUUGAAGUUCGAGGGAAAAAUGGUGAUGAAAUAUGUGAUAUGGUGGUAUCCACUCAGUUCAAAGUCUUGAAGUUAAUCAAUCUACCGAAUCUUAAGCAUAUUUGGUCUUCAGGUCCCCAAGCAAUUUUAACAUUUCAAAAUCUGCAUGAAGUUGAAGUUUCUAACUGUAAAAGUAUGAAAAGUCUCUUUCCAACUUCGGUGGCCAAAAGUCUUAAACAACUGAAGAAGCUAAAAAUACACGAUUGUGGAAUGGAGGAAAUUGUUGCUAUGGAAGAAGGAUUGGAAACAGUGACUAAGUUUGUGUUCCCACAACUAGUCUCUCUAAGUCUUGAAUUGAUGCCUGAGCUCAAGUGUUUCUAUCCAGGAAAACACACUAUAGAGUGGCCAUCACUAAAACAGUUGAUGAUACUCAAAUGCGACAAAGUGAAUAUUGUUGCUUUGAAUGAAUUAAGCUUCCCAAAUACAGAUGGGUUGGGCCAUGAUGUUCCGAUUCGGCCUCCCUUUUUCCAAAUUGAAAAGGUCGCAUUUUCUAACUUGGAGGAUAUAUGCAUCAGUGACAAAGAUAACCUAAAGAUGUUGUGGCACAAUUAUCAACUCGUUCCAGAUUCCUUUUGCAAACUAAAAAAGUUAGGCGUUGCAAGAUGUAAAAAUCUAAUGAACAUUUUUCCGCCUAAUAUGUUGAGAAGACUCCAAAAUCUUGAAAAUUUGGAGAUAAGGGAUUGCAAUUCGGUAGAAGAGGUAUUUGACAUUAGGGGGGAAAAUGUUGAUGAAAUAUGUGAUACAAUAUCCAAUAAGUUGAAAGUCCUGACUUUAUUCAAUCUUCCGAAGCUUAAGCAUGUAUGGAGUUUGAAUGUCCAAGCAAUUUUGACAUUUCAAAAUCUGCAUAAUAUUAAAGUUUCUAACUGUAAAAGUUUGAAAAGUCUUUUUCCAGUCUCAGUGGCCAAAAGUCUUGAACAACUUCGGUACCUGGAAAUACGCAAUUGUGGAUUGGAGGAAAUUGUUGCUAUGGAAGAAGGAUUGGAAAUAGUGACUAAGUUUGUGUUCCCACAACUACUCCGUCUAAAGCUUGUUUCGUUACCUGAACUCAAGUGUUUCUAUCCAGGAAAACACACUUCAGAAUGGCCAUCACUAAAGUAUUUGCACAUAUCUAAAUGCGACAAAGUAAAGACUUUUGCAUCGAAUGAAUUAAGCUUCUCAGAUACAAACGAGUUGGGCCAUCAUGUUCAAGUUCAGCAACCCCUUUUUCUGUUUGAAAAGGUAUGGACUUGUACUGGUUUAUUCGUUAAUGUGUAUACAAGCAUAUAACACUUAGUGUAAUUAUCCAAAGAUUAAAACUAAUACUAUAACAAUUUGUUAAUCAAUAGGUCUAGGUACACCAAUAAUUCCACCAAAAUGUUUGAAUAUUUUCUUUUUUUUGUUAAACUACGUUAAAAUGUUUGAAUUGUAUUGCUU